GUCUGUCUGCCCGCAUGCCUGCCUCUCUGUUGCUCUGAAGGAGGCAGGGGCUGGGCCUGCAGCUGCCUGGGCAGAGCGGCUCCU
This 84-nucleotide microRNA precursor is filed under the name Sciurus vulgaris (Eurasian red squirrel). RNAcentral's name for it is "microRNA 346 (ENSSVLG00005003735.1)". It matches the Rfam family "mir-346 microRNA precursor family", at positions 17 to 95 of the family's 95-position model. Lineage: Eukaryota; Metazoa; Chordata; Mammalia; Rodentia; Sciuridae. The record is from RNAcentral.